RNAcentral lists this long non-coding RNA (1154 nucleotides) under Ananas comosus (pineapple). RNAcentral's name for it is "long non-coding RNA (ACOM_LNC003453)". Lineage: Eukaryota; Viridiplantae; Streptophyta; Magnoliopsida; Poales; Bromeliaceae. The record is from RNAcentral.
UCGGAGACAACAAAGCUGCGAUUUCGUUUAAUCUUGAUCGACCGCGGAUUCACGACAAAAUCCAACCUUUCGUUCCGAUCGAAAGAAACACACAAAAAUACAUAUAAAACAUGUAUUUUUGGAUUUUCUCGAAAUCCGUGCGUCGAACUCAAAAUCCGUCAGCGUCAUUAGUUCCAGAAUAGCUGAACCGAUCGAAACGAGCUAUUGGACUGCUAUGAACAGAGUCCGGUACGAGCCAGAAGCCAACUUCUCACCGCGGCUUCUCCGGAAAAUCGAGUUACUAUUCACUUUAAGUGAAAACUAAUAAUCGCGUAACUUCUCCGUUUUAGCUCGUUUUCGCCCGAAACUUGACGAGUGCUUUUGUAAUUAAAUUACACACAAAAACAUCGUCAACUGAGAGUUUAGCUACACUGCAAAAAUCUCAGUCCUUACACUUAUGAAAUUUGGUUUCUAAAUAGUUCCAAUAGCGUAAAUCAAGUUUAAUAGAACCGAUCGCCGAAUCGGAUGUCCUAUCAUCGAAAACAACUUACAAGCACGGAAACCUCCGUACUUUCGAAAGCAUAGGAGCCUAGCUCUCUCUCUAUAUAUAUAUACAGAGAGAGAGAGAGAGAGAGUAGGGCUACUAUACUCUUAUGAGUAUAGAGCCCUUCAUACUCAUAAGUUAUUUUCGAUGAUAGAGCUUUCGAAUCGACGAUCCAUUCCGUUAAAUAUGAUCUAGAGUAUUUGAAACUUUUAGAAAAUAAAUUUCGUAAUUUUUUGAAAUCAUAAUAAAGUUCAUCAAGUGUGCAUAAAAUGAACAGUCAAAAUCGAACGACGUCGUAAAAAUGGAUGAUCAGAUCCGUCAAUUUAAGAUCAGAUUUAAAAAUUCAACCGAUUCUGAUUCUUUUACACCGUUAAACUAGCAAGUAUCCUAUACCGGCCGUUAAAAAUUGUCAAUUUUGCGACCUUUUAAUCGUAAGGUAAAUGCAGUUGAAAAAUUAUAAAAUUUGAUUUCUAGAAGUUUUAAAUGCUCUAAAUAACGUUUAAUGGUAUUGAUCGUCGAUUCGGAAGCUCUAUCAUUGAAAACGACUUAUGAGUACAAAGGCGAUCAUACUCAUAAGAGUAUAGUAGCUAGACUGUAUAUAUAUAUAUAUAUAUAUAUAUAUAUAUAUAUA